GCCUGGGUGGCUCAGUUGGUUAAGCGUCUGACUUCAGCUCAGGUCAUGAUCUCAGGGUCCUGGGAUCAAGUCCCACAUCAGGCU
Molecule: transfer RNA, 84 nt
Filed under: Ursus americanus (American black bear)
Lineage: Eukaryota; Metazoa; Chordata; Mammalia; Carnivora; Ursidae
Also listed under: 1 other name
Rfam family: tRNA
About the family: Transfer RNA (tRNA) molecules are approximately 80 nucleotides in length. Their secondary structure includes four short double-helical elements and three loops (D, anti-codon, and T loops).
Source: Rfam by way of RNAcentral